Molecule: non-coding RNA, 76 nt
Organism: Myotis lucifugus (little brown bat)
Lineage: Eukaryota; Metazoa; Chordata; Mammalia; Chiroptera; Vespertilionidae
Source: Rfam
GAGACACCCCUAUGGAGCAGGACUUGCUUCAGUGGGGCUUUGGUGCUCACUAAGUCUGUGUCUUGAGUGUGUCUCU